UCUAUAAAUACAAUUUCAAACCAGUAUUGAGGUCAAGUAAUUUCAUUCAACAACCUUGGACGGAGUAAGAAAACAUGGGAUUGUUGUGAUACAUGGCUGAUAAGAGCACAAUGAAGGCAAAAAAGCCCAUUGAAAUUUGGAUUUUCCAUCCCUGAUAAGCUGUCAGUAGGUAGAUGAUACUCACAUCUCAAAGAUAAAUUUAGAAGUAAAAUUUUACCAAUAAGGAAUUUGAAGGGUUUUCAUCUGCAGUUGCUUUAGCAUGUUGAGGUGGAGAUUCCAUCGCUCGAAUUCUUUGGAGUGUAUGUGCAGGGUUACUAAUGCGCAAGUCCACUUCCACUGACCUGCUCAUAGCAGCAAAAUUCCGAGCAGUAUGCUCUGCUGCCUGUAAGUAUUUAUAAAGCAGUAUGUGAGUGAUUGGUAAAUAAAACAAAGGUUAAAAUUAACUAAUGAAGAAUACAUCAUUAUGUCAAUGACAAAUCAUAAAAAAACACUCGAGUACAACAGGAAGUCAUUUCAAAGGUCAAUGGGUUUGUUCAAACUAAUAAAUCUCCUGCAUCUACUUUAAAAAUGGAGAAAUAAUAAAGAAAUGUACCAUCUUCUCAAUAAAUUACUGUCCACUAAAAGACUGAUGAAGAAUAAUUAACACCAGCUUGCUAACAGUAAUAACUCUUUUUGAAGAGGUGAAGUACAACGAAGACGAUCCAACACGCUUUUCAGCGAAAACAGUUAUGCGGUGGCGAUGUAUCUAGACUUUCUUUUCCCUACCUGAACAUGCCAGGGGCGACUGUUUACCAACAGAACAUUGGUCGCGUUUCAGGCUUAUCAUUCGCCACGUCCGCUUGGCUCAUUCCCGGUUACGUAGAUCCCUCUUUGAAUUUCAAUUGGAUGUUUUCCACUGCCGGCUCUCUCGUCGUUUCUAUAAGACGUGACCUUCGGUUAUUCGCAACGUGAUUUUUUUGCUCUUUUCCUGCAGUAGACGACGGAAAAACAAGAAAACAAGUAAAUAGCUCCAGGCUGGCCUCGAGGACAAACGAAGGCUAAACAGCAAGAAAGAACCGGGAACUUGUCUAGCGUAAGUAAUUUGUUCCCAUGGUUCCAAAUUGUUCCUGACCUUGCAAAAGUCAAAUAAAAGACACAUACGUAACGUUGAAGAAAUUUUGGCGCAAAUGCAGGUGUUAACGGCAAUCAAAAAUUGUGGUCAGAUACAAUUUUGAGUUUUACACAGACCACGCCCCGUGUACUAAAGAAAACCGCGAAUGCGUAGAGAACGAUUUAAAAAAGAUAACAACGGCCUUGGACGGUCGGUUUGAUUUCAUGUUAAGCACAACAACAACAUUUGGAAAUAACAUUGCUCUUGUAAACAUAAAUUAGUAUGCCUCUUCUCUAUUCAAUUUUGUACGUUAAAAGCUGCGUGGAUAAUUGUUCUCUGUGAUUCAAUAACAACGUUAAAUAGCAUUAAUAUCUUGGAAGGCACCUGUUUUGCAUUGAUAUCGUAGCUAUGUUUUUCAUUGAUGCGUUAAAAUGGAAGACUCCAACGUAGCAUAGCGAGCAGCCAUGGAGUCAUACAGCUAAAAUAAAAUAUAUUAAUAAGUUCUAAUUUUAGCAAAUGAAACAGGGAAUGAACUUUAGUACCUUGGCUGCUUCGACUCUAGGACGGCACAAAAGGGUAAAGUUUGGCCGACGGUUGGCCAUAAACUCGUUAAAUGGAAUGAACAUGCCGGAUUCUUUCAAGGCCAAACCAUGAGCUGCUCGGUAGGCCGAGCCAAGACAGGAAGAAUUGGCCGUAUCCUAAAAUCAAUAAAAACAAAAGGCAUCUAACUUUUCCUGCGUUUCGCUGUAGUUCAUCAUUUGGCUACCUGAGUGAAUACGUCAGCGUUAAAGACAUCGGCCAAAAUUUGCAAAAUGGACCGGUUGUUCGAAGCUCCACCUGUGACGAAUACUCGACAGCUUUCACCUACAAAACUUCUUUGUUUAUCGUUAAUCCUCCAAUGUAGCCGAUCAAGUCCACACACCUAUGUUGAAUCCCAAUUGUUCAGCGUGAACUCGCUUAGCUAAGAGCUGUCCUUCGACGAGGGCGCGAACUUCUGUGGCCGCCUCUUCGAAGGUGUUGACUUUCUGAUCGAAUGCGUUAAAGCGGAAUGUACCCUGGAUUUUCGGUGUGAUCUCUUGCUCGUCGUAAUACAUGCCAAUGUGACCAUGAUUUCCGGGUGGCGUGCAAGCUAAUAAAGCAUCAAAUUCAUCCCACGACCGAUGAGCGAAUACAUCUCGAAUGCGUUCGCGAGUAAGCGAUCCAUUUUUGAAACUAUUCCGUGAAAAAGACAAGUAUUAAUCGAUUUUUAAAAUAUUCGUCAUUCAAGUUCUUUACCAUAAUAAAGCCAUAUAAGCCUCUGGAUCAACUGGAUUGCAAAAGACAUGGCCCUCUAAUGAAGGUGUAGGUUUUCCACUGAGCCAGAGGAAGACCGUGUCACUAGUUCCCAGGCUUAUGGCAACAUCACCCGGUUCCAAACACAUUCCUAGUAAAGCGAAGAAGUUUUUAAUUACAGCGCAGUUGAAAAAUUUGAAAAUGAUUUCAAACUACCAGCUAGGGAUGCGGGAUUAUCGCCUGUGAAGACCACGACCUGGCAACUUGGGUCAAAGCUGUAGCGUUCAACAAAGUAAUUGGAAAUGGGUCCUAGACAUGUAUGAGUAGUGACUGGUUCACCCAACUUCUCUUUCAAAUCAGGGGCACACAUCUGCAAACAUCCAGUUAGAAAUGAGACAUUUUCACGCUAAUAAAAAUGUAAGAAUAGGACUAUUACAUGCAGACACUGCGAAUCCCAAUCCUUUAAAGUUAUAUCGAAUAAGUUCAUUCCUGAAGCAUCGGACCAAUCGAUGGGACUGUAGCAUCCGAGAAAAACAGAGCAAGCAAAACUGCUGACUAAGGAAAUUCUCUAAAACCAGAAGCGGUAUUAACCAAAUUUGGAUUUUAAUGUGAAAUAGGGCGGUACUCUUUAACACUAAAUACCUCUGUGUUGAAAUAAAGCUCGGCUUUCUCGCUUACAAUUUUUGCGAUUUGAUGCCCCGUGAAUCUCUCGUAAGCUCUGGAACCAGUCAGAUCAGCCAAUCUCUAUAACAGCAUCAAAGAUUUCAAGAGCAAGUUACAUAAUGUUCCUGCUAUGAUUGGAAACUAAAGAAUCACCUGAGGACCACCAAGUUUCUUUUCCAUUGUCUCACAAUAACUAUGUGUACUAGAAUCCAUCCACACUGGUGAGUCUUGGAUGCUGAAGCAGUUUGCUAGUUGUAGAAAUAAGAAUUUUGUUGGAUCUAAAGUAGGCAGCAGAUUCUGAACUCCCUUUCGCCAAUAAACACUGCCAUGUUGCUGUAACACAUUCACCAGAUAAGACAUUGUCUGUUCAUUUAUAUUUGUUUGAUUUAUGACAACUGUUGAGAUUUACUUGGCCAGAUCCUGAGAUUGCUGAAAUAUCUUGGAAGUCUAGGCCAGUAAUCUUAAGCUGGUCCAUUAGCAAAUCCAGUGCUUUCACCCACAUAACUGUUGGGGCAGUGACAGUUGAUCCAUUCUUCUUAACCCCACCACUUGUCCUAAGUAGUUAAGGAAUUGUUCUAGUAAAUCUAUCUUUCAAUAUAGUAUAGUAUAAACACCUAAAAUACUGACCUAUACUCAGGGAGGUUGCGAUCGAAAUUUACAGCUGCUUCAUGUAGGACUUCCAAUUUCUCAUCAACCACUACUGCUUUUAACUUAGACAUUUAAAGGUAAGCAAAAAAAGUAACAAAUAUAAAACUUAAGAAUGCAAAUGCAUGAAAUACUCUCUCACCUGUUGAGUGCUGAAAUCUAAGCCAAGAAAAUAGCUUUUCCUGGGGAUGGUUUCAGACAAAAUAUCUGGCACAUCCGACAUUUCUUAGUAGUGGGAUCCGUUGGUUAUAGAUGGUAGUGGGUACCUAGUCUUCCCAACCGUGACAGGAUGAUGACGUACGGAAGUUCAUGAUAAAGAGGACGACUCACCGCAUAAACAGAAACAGAAUCUCCUCCCCUCAUUUGUUAUUGUUAUUUUAUUCGUUUUUUUUUUACCACGUAUCAUCGUUGCCAAAUUUCUUCCGCUAUCGUGAGUGGAGUUUUUCUGAUCUCAUUCAUUUCUCAAGUUGAGAACUUGAAAAGUUUGAGUUGACUCAGGUGGGUCUCAACUCUCAAGAGAGAGUCACUCAUAGUCCUAUUAUUCUGGUUGAGAGUUGAGAUUCGUAAAUGAGAUGUAACAUUUCAAAAACGCAUUUUUAGUCGAUUCCAUCCAUAUCCCAUGUCUCAACUGAUUCUCUCAGCCAACUCACAAAACUGUCGACGAAACUUUCCUUUAGCAAGGAAAAGAACUCAUAUCUGCUCAUAUCAGAAAACUGAACCAAGGCUACCAAAUACCUUGUAACAAAAAAUGUGUUAUUUUCGUCCGUCAUGUUUAAAAACGGGAAGGGAUAGACCCCUUUACCUAGAAAAACCAAUCCAACCCACCCAACUGGAAAAGCAGUCUGUUGAUCGCCCCAAACUGAAAAUUUUUACGGCAAAUAUGUGGCCCCUAGGUUUAGCAAACUUGGGCCGAGCCCUAACUGCUUAAAAAAGAAAAAUAUCAAAAACAGCGUUGAAAUUUGAUUCUCGAAUAACAAUAGAGUCAGAGUUUGAAACGAAUAGGGCAACGAAUUGAAUACGGCUAAAAUUUCUUUGACAAACAAAGAAUAAAACAUCAAUUAUUCUUUGUUUUUAAUUUGAAAUAUUUAUUCAAAAAAUUCUAUCCGACAGCACGCACUUAUCGUUAUUGAAAGAGGGCUCGGCCCUAAUGGCUACAAUCGAGAGUGAUCGAGUGAAUUACUUCUCAAGCGGAGAGCAGUACGAAGUAAGCCCCGGAAACAUUAUCUUUUUAAAAUGGCGACAUAAAUGGCGCCAAAUUUAAAAAAAAAAAAGUUGGGCUUGGUUAACCUACGCGUAAAGUAAAACUCCUAACAGGCUAACAAGAAUCAAUUUUGUUGACAGAAAGACAGAAGCUUGCACCUCUUCCUUUGCAAAACAAUAUACCUCGAAUUAUGCAGGAAACUUUCCCAUUUUUUUGCUUUUCAUUUUGUUAAGCAACCAACGUGGGAGAAUCGUUAAAAGAGCAUCUUUAAUUGCAGUAUCUUAUCAAGACAAACUUCGCCGCCCAACGUUUUUCGUACUAGUGGCGUUGCUUACCUUUGGCUGGGCAAGUUCGAGAAUUGCAUUAUGUUGACUUUUCUAUUAUAUACGUAUAUAUAUACCCUUGACGAAAGCAUUAUGUUGAACGUUAACCUCAUCGCUGGCGGACACCCACUCGGCUGGAUGCAGUAUACACAUUUUCGGCCAAACAACAAAGGGUGAUAUAAAACAAUUCCAUGAGUGGUGCAAUUGUACUUUUCUCCCCUCGUUAUCAGCUCACUUUCCCGAAAUUCUGCUGAAUAGGUCAGUGAAAUCCUGCAGAAAUAAUUACCAAAAGCGUUUAUUUCGAAAAAUUAUUUUCCUUUCAUGUCAAACAGAACAGAA
RNAcentral lists this long non-coding RNA (5533 nucleotides) under Daphnia magna. RNAcentral's name for it is "uncharacterized LOC123471241". Lineage: Eukaryota; Metazoa; Arthropoda; Branchiopoda; Diplostraca; Daphniidae. The record is from RNAcentral.